GUGUGUUAGUGGAAGCGUCUGGAAAGGCGCGCGAUACAGGGUGACAGCCCCGUACACAAAAAUGCACAUGCUGUGAGCUCGAUGAGUAGGGCGGGACACGUGGUAUCCUGUCUGAAUAUGGGGGGACCAUCCUCCAAGGCUAAAUACUCCUGACUGACCGAUAGUGAACCAGUACCGUGAGGGAAAGGCGAAAAGAACCCCGGCGAGGGGAGUGAAAAAGAACCUGAAACCGUGUACGUACAAGCAGUGGGAGCACGCUUAGGCGUGUGACUGCGUACCUUUUGUAUAAUGGGUCAGCGACUUAUAUUCUGUAGCAAGGUUAACCGAAUAGGGGAGCCGAAGGGAAACCGAGUCUUAACUGGGCGUUAAGUUGCAGGGUAUAGACCCGAAACCCGGUGAUCUAGCCAUGGGCAGGUUGAAGGUUGGGUAACACUAACUGGAGGACCGAACCGACUAAUGUUGAAAAAUUAGCGGAUGACUUGUGGCUGGGGGUGAAAGGCCAAUCAAACCGGGAGAUAGCUGGUUCUCCCCGAAAGCUAUUUAGGUAGCGCCUCGUGAAUUCAUCUCCGGGGGUAGAGCACUGUUUCGGCAAGGGGGUCAUCCCGACUUACCAACCCGAUGCAAACUACGAAUACCGGAGAAUGUUAUCACGGGAGACACACGGCGGGUGCUAACGUCCGUCGUGAAGAGGGAAACAACCCAGACCGCCAGCUAAGGUCCCAAAGUCAUGGUUAAGUGGGAAACGAUGUGGGAAGGCCCAGACAGCCAGGAUGUUGGCUUAGAAGCAGCCAUCAUUUAAAGAAAGCGUAAUAGCUCACUGGUCGAGUCGGCCUGCGCGGAAGAUGUAACGGGGCUAAACCAUGCACCGAAGCUGCGGCAGCGACGCUUAUGCGUUGUUGGGUAGGGGAGCGUUCUGUAAGCCUGCGAAGGUGUGCUGUGAGGCAUGCUGGAGGUAUCAGAAGUGCGAAUGCUGACAUAAGUAACGAUAAAGCGGGUGAAAAGCCCGCUCGCCGGAAGACCAAGGGUUCCUGUCCAACGUUAAUCGGGGCAGGGUGAGUCGACCCCUAAGGCGAGGCCGAAAGGCGUAGUCGAUGGGAAACAGGUUAAUAUUCCUGUACUUGGUGUUACUGCGAAGGGGGGACGGAGAAGGCUAUGUUGGCCGGGCGACGGUUGUCCCGGUUUAAGCGUGUAGGCUGGUUUUCCAGGCAAAUCCGGAAAAUCAAGGCUGAGGCGUGAUGACGAGGCACUACGGUGCUGAAGCAACAAAUGCCCUGCUUCCAGGAAAAGCCUCUAAGCAUCAGGUAACAUCAAAUCGUACCCCAAACCGACACAGGUGGUCAGGUAGAGAAUACCAAGGCGCUUGAGAGAACUCGGGUGAAGGAACUAGGCAAAAUGGUGCCGUAACUUCGGGAGAAGGCACGCUGAUAUGUAGGUGAAGUCCCUCGCGGAUGGAGCUGAAAUCAGUCGAAGAUACCAGCUGGCUGCAACUGUUUAUUAAAAACACAGCACUGUGCAAACACGAAAGUGGACGUAUACGGUGUGACGCCUGCCCGGUGCCGGAAGGUUAAUUGAUGGGGUCAGCGCAAGCGAAGCUCUUGAUCGAAGCCCCGGUAAACGGCGGCCGUAACUAUAACGGUCCUAAGGUAGCGAAAUUCCUUGUCGGGUAAGUUCCGACCUGCACGAAUGGCGUAAUGAUGGCCAGGCUGUCUCCACCCGAGACUCAGUGAAAUUGAACUCGCUGUGAAGAUGCAGUGUACCCGCGGCAAGACGGAAAGACCCCGUGAACCUUUACUAUAGCUUGACACUGAACAUUGAGCCUUGAUGUGUAGGAUAGGUGGGAGGCUUUGAAGUGUGGACGCCAGUCUGCAUGGAGCCGACCUUGAAAUACCACCCUUUAAUGUUUGAUGUUCUAACGUUGACCCGUGAUCCGGGUUGCGGACAGUGUCUGGUGGGUAGUUUGACUGGGGCGGUCUCCUCCUAAAGAGUAACGGAGGAGCACGAAGGUUGGCUAAUCCUGGUCGGACAUCAGGAGGUUAGUGCAAUGGCAUAAGCCAGCUUGACUGCGAGCGUGACGGCGCGAGCAGGUGCGAAAGCAGGUCAUAGUGAUCCGGUGGUUCUGAAUGGAAGGGCCAUCGCUCAACGGAUAAAAGGUACUCCGGGGAUAACAGGCUGAUACCGCCCAAGAGUUCAUAUCGACGGCGGUGUUUGGCACCUCGAUGUCGGCUCAUCACAUCCUGGGGCUGAAGUAGGUCCCAAGGGUAUGGCUGUUCGCCAUUUAAAGUGGUACGCGAGCUGGGUUUAGAACGUCGUGAGACAGUUCGGUCCCUAUCUGCCGUGGGCGCUGGAGAACUGAGGGGGGCUGCUCCUAGUACGAGAGGACCGGAGUGGACGCAUCACUGGUGUUCGGGUUGUCAUGCCAAUGGCACUGCCCGGUAGCUAAAUGCGGAAGAGAUAAGUGCUGAAAGCAUCUAAGCACGAAACUUGCCCCGAGAUGAGUUCUCCCUGACUCCUUGA
This 2514-nucleotide ribosomal RNA is filed under the name Escherichia coli. RNAcentral describes it as "bacterial LSU rRNA". It matches the Rfam family "Bacterial large subunit ribosomal RNA", at positions 324 to 2826 of the family's 2925-position model. The record is from RNAcentral. Lineage: Bacteria; Pseudomonadati; Pseudomonadota; Gammaproteobacteria; Enterobacterales; Enterobacteriaceae.